Sinocyclocheilus grahami is the source of this 309-nucleotide long non-coding RNA. RefSeq lists it as uncharacterized. NCBI's taxonomy places the organism in Eukaryota, Metazoa, Chordata, Actinopteri, Cypriniformes, Cyprinidae. The transcript is spliced from 4 exons. The record is from RefSeq and is a predicted model, not a curated record.
UAUACUGACAUGAUUUUUCUCUGUUCUAACCAGCGGUGAGGCAGCUGAAGGAAGCUGUGGACUCAUCCAUUAACAAGCUGUCCAACUUUGACGAAGUCAUUGAUGCACAUCUUCAGAAUAACCAGACGACAGUGGACAACAGCUUGGCCAGUCCAGACAGGCUUAAAGAAAACCAAAUAGACGCUAAAGAGAGCGAUAUGUCAGAUACCCUGAGCCCCAGCAAGGACAAAAGCAGUGACGACACAUCAGAUGGACAGAUGGAUGAACAAGAACUGAACGAGCCCCAGAACAGGGUUUCUCUUCUGAAAG